This 229-nucleotide ribosomal RNA is filed under the name uncultured bacterium. RNAcentral's name for it is "partial 16S ribosomal RNA". It matches the Rfam family "Bacterial small subunit ribosomal RNA", at positions 568 to 796 of the family's 1533-position model. The record is from RNAcentral.
UGCGUAGGCGGAAUACUAAGUCAGCGAUGAAAUCCUGCAGCUUAACUGUAGAACUGUCAUUGAUACUGGUAUUCUUGAAUGCAGUUGAGGUAGGCGGAAUGUGUAAUGUAGCGGUGAAAUGCUUAGAUAUUACACAGAACACCGAUUGCGAAGGCAGCUUACUAAACUGUGAUUGACGCUGAGGCACGAAAGCGUGGGGAGCAAACAGGAUUAGAUACCCUGGUAGUCC